Molecule: microRNA, 23 nt
Filed under: Heligmosomoides polygyrus
Lineage: Eukaryota; Metazoa; Nematoda; Chromadorea; Rhabditida; Heligmosomidae
Description: hpo-miR-10103-3p
Source: miRBase by way of RNAcentral
GAUGGCGACGGUUCUCUUUCUAA